Molecule: long non-coding RNA, 3082 nt
Organism: Daphnia carinata
Lineage: Eukaryota; Metazoa; Arthropoda; Branchiopoda; Diplostraca; Daphniidae
Exons: 16
Source: RefSeq, a predicted model, not a curated record
UCUAGCAGAAGCAGUUGGUUGUAAUGAGCAUGCCGCCAUAUUAGCUGUUAAUUUGUCGCGAAAUUUCAAAGAAGUAUAUGUGCUUGAUGACUGUUUCAUAUUGAUUAAAUAAGACGUGCACCGAAUCCGCUUUCUGCAAGAAACUAAAUGUAGAUGCAAUUUCUAUCCAUUGAAGUGUUUUUUUUUUACAAGAUUCAACCUCUGUAUAUGUAAACUAAAAUUCAAACCAACUUUCAUCAAGGUCAUUAGUGAAACAAUAUUCACUGUUCAGCCUGCUUCAUCUGCAAAAUCUUCCAACAUAUCAUGUGAUGUAGUACCUCAAGGAAAAAUUUCGUAGGGUCGUAAUAAAGAUUUGCAAACUGUUUGCUGUACUGUCAUCAACAUCAAUGACUAAAGGAAACCACCUAUGGUAUUAUUUGCUUGUGGAAUGUGACUGUAUGCUCGAAGGUGACCUACAAUGUUCAUGGAUAAGCUUUAGCACCUUACCAAUUAAAGCUGCUAAUGCUGCAAUGGCCAAAGUAAUUCAUUAUACAAUGGACAGUCAUGGCAUGAGUGUCGAUUGUCGUCAUGUCGCCGUGUUAUUCGAUCGGAUGAGUUGCCGUGGUGAAAUCUUGGGCAUUACCAGCAAUACUUUUUAUAUUGUAUUAUAUUAUAUGCACUCAGAAAAAUUUGUUUCAUUCUGAUCUACUUUUUUUCUGUCUAGGGUCAAAAGGUAAGUGUUUUCUUGCAUUUCUAGUGUGAUUACUUUAAUAUGGUUUUGUUAACAGUGCGGAGAAGGACAUUUUGCCAGAGAGUGUCCACAAGCUGGUGGAGGCGGUGGUAGUGGUCCGUUGACGUCACAAAGUAAGAUGAAAAUAUCGAAAAAUACGUUCAAACUUCUUGGUGUUUUUUUAUAGUAUGGGGAAGGGGGACAUUUCUCGAAGGAUUGUCCACAAGAGGGCCGCGGCGUUGGUGGAAGUCGUACCUGCUAUGAGGUUACAGGAAAAGAUGUACCUCAAUACAUAACAUUUGAAGAAGCCGGCCUGCGCCAACUACUACUUCAAAACAUUAAGAAUUCUGGCUACAUAAAACCAACACCUGUGCAGAAAGCUUCAGUUGCAGUUAUUCUUGCCAAAAGAGAUUUAAUUGCUUGUGCUGUCACGGGCUCCGGCACAACGGAACUGUCAUGAGCCAUCAGCGGUCAAAUCUUCAAGCUGGGUGCAAUACUCUUGUCGCGACCGCGGGGCAACUCGAGGAUUUUCUCGACCUUGGAGUAUUUUACUUCUCGACGACCAGGUUUUUAAUUUUGGACGAAGCUGAUCGAAGGCUUUAUGGGUUUCGGUCUCGAUAUUGAAAACAUUGUCAACCAUCCAACGAUGCCUCCGAAAGGAAUCCGUCGUGUUUGUAUGUUUACGGUUUCACUGGCGCCCAAGUCGGAAAAUUGCCUUGUCUGGAAAUUUGGUAAAGUGUGACGGCUUUUGGCAGAACUAUGAUUGAGAAAACAAGAGAGGAUGUGGAGUCUAAAUUUUGCGCCGAGAAUGGCUAUGCCCAUGACGCCAAAGUAAUCUAUGGUAACACAGAUUCCGUAAUGGUGAAAUUCGGUGUACCCACGGUGGCCGAAGCCAUGGAAUUAGGCCGAGAAGCUGCCGCAUUUGUGUCGGCAAAAUUUGUCUAACCCAUUAAUUUGGUAUUGGGAAAAGUCUAUUACCCCUAUUUAUUGAUCAACAAAAAGAGGUAUGCAGGAUUGUAUUGGACCAAACCUGAAAAGUUUGACAAAAUGGAUUGUAAAGAUAUAGAAAUCGUUCGUCGUGAUAAUUGCCAACUCGUUGCCAAUCUUAUCAAUAGCUGUCUGCAGAAAAAUCUUGAUGGAGCGAGACCCGGAUGGAGCCUUAGAAUACGCUAAACAAACAAUUUCCGACUUGCUGUGCAACAAAGUCGAUUUCUCACUUAUGGUGAUUACCAAGGGGCUGACUAAAACAGAUAAAGACUACGCCAGCAAACAAGCACAUGUGGAACUAGCUCACAAGAUGCUCGAGAUUGCCCCAUCUUUUACAUGAGGACAAAAGUUAGAAAAGAUCUCACGGAACAGGAUAAACUUAUGAAAAGAUUCGGCCUACCCUGACCUAACGCUCUCGUCAAUGAUGGUGCAUACAGGUGCUGUGUUGAGCUGAGCUGCUGAUGGCAACAUUUAACAUGGCGUCGUAGCGGCUGGUUAUAUCACGGCAGCCGAACGUGGCAGACCUUGCUUUUUGUAGGUGAAAUUCAAGGGUAGAACUGCAAAUGCUCGGCGCCAUCUUGUACCAACGAUGUGGUCUGGCGAACACCUUGCCAAGGUGACCAUGCAUUACCUUUGAAUGUAUUUAAGGGUAAGUUGCAAGUCGGUAGAUUUGCUCCGCAGUUUCCCGGAUACCAGCACCCUGCUUCGCGAGAACUACUCUACGUUGUUCUCGGAGACUUAGACGAACAUCUGAAUCCGAUUUUGAAGAAGUCUUGCAUCGAUGGACACUGACAAAAUAUAGGAAGCUGCACAUGAAUGUUGGGUAUUUUAUCAUAAGUAGAAUACAGAAAGAUUCUGUAGUAGUAGAUCUCUUUAGUUGGGUAUUGAAAUUGGCUUUGGUGUGUCUGGGGUCCGAUGGGGUCUCAGUUGCAUUUGAUCCUACUUGUUAUUUAUCACUGCAAAUGCCAGUCGAAAAGGAAGUACCAGUUGACCUGUAUCUGGCUUACAUGGAUCUUUUAGCAGAAAGUUUUCUGCUUUCAAGGGAUUCGAAGAGUUUGCAAAAUAUUAUGUCUCUAGGAUUCCACAGUUUUACGUAAUUCAAUUGACAAGAAAUGUAUACUGAUUCUUGUUUUAUUUUUCUAAAGGCAGAUUCGUAAUUAUAAAGAAUUGGAAAAGAAAAUCGACGGAGGCUCAGUACCAAAAAAAUUAUGGUAGUUGGAAUGAUUACCGAAGCUCUUCGGAUUGUUUAUUUCACGCGUUAUGCGGGUCAUGCAGAUACUGUGAUCAGCAGAGAAGGUUAGAAGUGCGCUGCCCGGAAAGCAAAUUUGGGGUAAAAGAAAAAAAACUUAUUCCAACUAGUAAGCAAUUUCCAAAUUCAACCAAAAA